AGGGCACACUGAGAACACAGGCAGCUCCUCUGGCCAGCGCAAGGCUCUCAGCCUGACCAUCUUCUUCCACUCUUCCUCCUCAACAUUUUGUCCCAAGGUUUGGGCUCUUGUUUUCUUUCCUGCAGUCGAAAGCUCUUUGCAUCAGUGAAGACGAAAUUUGCUUUGCUGGCAGUCUUUAUUGUGGCUUAAUCAUGGUCAUUUUUGGAUGCUCAUUGCUCUCUUAAUCUUCUCAGGCUUCUUUCGAAGGCUGCUGUUGAUUUCUGGUAACUGAAGCUAUGGAAACUGAAAGCAUGAAUAAUCACAGACUACUAUGUUGUCACGCACCAUUGCUGGGACGAGCAAGUGCUGCCUGCAAAACUCCUUUGGAGGGGUGACUAGAAGCUCUGUGCUUGGCCCUUUACCAGGCUCUGCCCUUUACCAGGCUCUGCCCUGUAUGCCCCUGCCCUCUGCUAUCUCUGAUCUGUAUCCUUGUGCUGUAAUAAAUAAUAACCAUUGGUGUG
This is a long non-coding RNA of Castor canadensis (American beaver), 500 nucleotides long. RefSeq lists it as uncharacterized. Lineage: Eukaryota; Metazoa; Chordata; Mammalia; Rodentia; Castoridae. The record is from RefSeq and is a predicted model, not a curated record.